AGAAGCUCCAGGUGUGCUUGCAUGGUGGGUGAAUCAUAGAGGACAACCCAGUUCUCUCACUCUCUGGAGGAUAAAAUUAGAAGCAACGCAAGUGAAGAAUCAACUUCUCUGUCUCUGGCAAAGAGAACUCUAACAGAUUUCGAGAGACGUGGAGACCCUCCUGGAUCCUGCUCCGUGCCAGAUGGCAUCUCUCCACACGGAAGAGCGAGGGAGCUUGCUUCCAGGAGUCACGCUGAGUGAAGUGCCACGGAAAGGGCGCAGACAGUCUGUAGCUGGUUCCAGCUGGCUCACCACGUGUCAACAAGGAAGUCCUUUGACUGGCUGGGGAAUCAUUCCAAAAGGAAACAGAAGCUCCUAAAGAGGAAAUAACUUGCCCAAAGUCACACACCUAGCAAAGUGGGAUGCCAGGUCCAGAACAUUUGCCUCUUGACUCCCAGCCCACUCCACUUGUGCUCCACUGCUGUCCUGGCCAAGGCAGUGCCUUUUGGAGGCAGCUGCUUGGUACAGCGGAUACAGCACCAGGCCCAGAGUUGGGGAGAGUUCAAAUCCUGCUUCACACUUCCUGCCUCCACGACCCUAGGUGAGUCACCUUACCUAUACCUAUCUGUUUCCUCUACUGUGAAAUGGGGAUCAUAAUAGCAGCUACCUCCCCACAUUGUGGUGAGGAUCAAAUCAGAUGUGAAGUGCUUCGCUUCACACAGUGCCUGGCACACGGACGCUUGAUAAAUGCUGACUAUACCUGGCUCGGCUUUGAAGUCUCGCUCUCGGAUCCCAGGGUAUGGGCAAGUAAGGACAGUGCUAGACACUCAGAGCUGCCCAGAUAUUUGAAAGUUGUUUUUAUUUUUUGGUGGUGGGGGGGGGCAGCAGCACUCUUCUUCAUCGGGUGCCCAGUGCUUCGACUCCCAGGAAAAGAUCUCAAUGAUUGGAAAGAGGAAGGUUAGUUUAGCCCCUCAGUAAGGGGAGUGUAGGGCCCUGGAAGAUGAAGGCUUGGAGACUUUUUCUUAACUAAUACUAAUGAACCUCAGAAUGACUUCCCUGACACUCAUAUAGGCCUUUGAUGCAGUGUCAUAGACACAUGAAAUUGAUCUCCAGACUCACCUUUACAUACUCUGGUCUCACCCAAGCAGCUGGAUGGAGAAACAGAGAGAGCGCCAAGCUCUUCAUCCCCUUCCUUCUGCAAAGUGGGACCUUAAGUCAAGCUAGGGAAGUGCUAAUAUGUUUUACUGAUUUCCUAUUUCUAUCCUUUCCUUUCCAGGAGAAUAGCCCCACUUUUUCACGGAGCCAUGGGCUUGUCCUGGGCAUAAUGUCCUUCCCUCCCUUUCCUGACACAUUAAGAGAGGUACCUGUCCCUUGGGAUGCUAUUUCAACAUCCAUCUCUGUCAAUCACCCCUGGUUUGCCCUGAGAACAAUUGCUCAAGCCAGCAUCAGAACAGGGUGCUUCUGUUGUUAUGAGCAGGCUGACUGGCAGGCUCUCAUGGGUGUGAUGGUAAGGGGUAAAUUGGGCUCUUUUCUUUCAGCAGGGAUCCCACUGGCUAUGGUGAAGCUCCAAGAGCACUCUGCACCUGGGUAGGUCCAGGUGUCUUUUUUUCCCUUCUAAUUAUUCCCCAGUGCUUAGCAUAUCAAUCUGUAGAGACAAGCAUUACAAAUGAAAUGGGUCUACACCUAAGUUCUCUGGAUAAUUUUCUUUUGUAUUGCUAAUAUAUUUUUCUAAAAUCUUAUGGCAACAUGGAAGUGGCCUUGGGUUAUCAAAAGCUAUUCUGCCAGAGCAUGAACUGGAAAGGUUUUGAGUACAGGCCUGGCCAUGGUCUUCCUUCCAAGCUCAUCAUCACAAGAUUGACCGCAAUACAAGAGAUCAACUUUUUCAGUUCAUAAGUAGCGACUUUUUUCAGCCACAGCAAAUCCCAAAGACUGACAGAAUUACCAAUUCUCAAAGUAUUCAAGAAGGCCAAAAAUACCUCCUGGGUUUAUUUUCUUAUUGUUCAAACCCUGCUCAUUUGCCAAAACCCAGGGAGGGGCUGGAAGCCAGUGACUUGACACCCCUUGGCCUUUCUUCAUUCACACUGCUGGAGCCCUUAGGGCUCCUGUGGCCAGGGCUGACCUGAGCUCUAAUUGCACAGACACCAUUUAUUUUCAGCAUCUCCAUCCCCUCAGGGUGAUCUUCUCCCCACUUUGGCAACCUCCCCCAAGACUCUACCACACUCCUGAUAUUCUCAAACUCCAUCAGAUUUUGCCCUCCUUGUGUUCAUAUCUGCCCUUUGCCGGGGCUUACCUAGCCAACUAAUGGUGCUAUGUAUACACGUUUCAGCAGGGACUUCCUGGAGACAAUGCCUUAACCCAAAAGAAGAGGGGAAGGGGGGUUCCCUACCUCAGGUAAUUACAAUAACUGCUCUUAUUUCUCAAGCGUUUCACUCAUACUGUGCCUAUGGGGGCGGGCACAGGUAGCAGUUUGCCCAAAGUGUGCUUUCUGGCUAGUGAACGGAGCAAGGACUUCUGAGUCCAAGGCCAAUGCUUCCUCCCCUCCCCACUGCGCCAUAACGGGAAGCUGCAAGGAGCGGAGUGGAGGUGGUUCACUAUACGGCCAUCCAGUCAAUGCCAUCUUCUCCUUUCUAGUGCCGCACACUGUUUGCUCUUCUGCCGUUCUUGCCCUUCAAUGUUAUAUGAUGUUGAGGCACAGGGGCAGCCACCUCUACUGCCAAGUCCUCAGGGAGCCACACCACUGCCAUUCAAGCCUGGAGGCAGAAGCCCGUGGGGGAGUAAGGGUACAGCAAAGGCAGGUUUUAGAGAUUUAUUUAAUUAAAAAAAAAGGUCUCUAAAAAGUCCUUCAUUUCCCAUUUCUACCCUGCCUAGAGGGUGAGGAAUAGCUCAAGUGAAGGAGGUACCCACUUUGUUCAGGGAAAAGCUCCAUUCUCCCCCAACCCCUUCCCAGUCUGCAUGAGGCCAGGUGAGUCAGAGGUGGGGGGAGCUCUUUUCCCUUCCCACCCUACCUUCUUGAGAGGCCCAAAUGGAUGCUGGGAAGUUUUAGAGGCAAAGAGGUGCAGGAAGAGGAGGUGAGGAGAUGGCCUUUUUCAGACCAACCGUGACACAAGAGCUGUGCAAUCCCUUUCAACAGUCCCUGGGUCCCCAAGGCCUUGGCCACUGGGGGUGGUGUGAAUGGAAGAGGCCGUGCCCUUCAUGCUGGCGUUUGACAAGGGGCCUUUCCUUAAUGCUGCUCGUGGGAAAGCAGGGCAUUCGGAAGCAAUUUGUAGCAUGUCACGAUGGCCUCAUGAGUCCAGAAAGAAGAAUCCCCAAUCCUCUCCCUUACAGACCCUCCCGGCCUCUGUGCUGAGGCUGCAGCUCCCUCAUUCUCCACCUGAGGGUGAGUGGAGUCCAGGACAAAGCACUGAGAAGACACCUGGAUAAAGCCAGAAGGAAGGAACUCAGCCCAUCUGCCAGUCCGGGCUCUCACACACAGUCACACACACAGCGUUAAGGCGUAUGGGCCAGCAGGCGUGGCCAAAUCAGGUCCAGCUUCUCUCUCUCCACCUAUACAUAGCAGUGCCUGUAUGGGGGAAUUCUUGGCUAUUUCAGAACCAGGCUGAAGGGGGAGAAGCUGAUGAAGAAAGAGUUAACCAGCUUAGGGAAGGAUAGGGCAUGAAGCAGGCAAUGGCUGCCUUGGCCUAUGUCCAGGCCUGGUGGUCUUCCUUGACAGUUACCCACUUGGGUUGGGGAGCUCUGGCCACCUGUGCCUCUGAGGGGUGAGGAUGGGGGCUAGGGUGGACAGGGAAGAGA
Phascolarctos cinereus (koala) is the source of this 3768-nucleotide non-coding RNA. NCBI's taxonomy places the organism in Eukaryota, Metazoa, Chordata, Mammalia, Diprotodontia, Phascolarctidae. The record is from RefSeq and is a predicted model, not a curated record.